GACGAACGCUGGCGGCAUGCUUAACACAUGCAAGUCGAACGAGAAAGCUUCUUCGGAAGUGAUUAAAGUGGCGCACGGGUGAGUAACGCGUAGACAAUCUGCCCUUCAGUCCGGGACAACUUUCCGAAAGGGGAGCUAAUACCGGAUAACAAUGUUUAACAUAAGUUGAAUAUUUAAAAGCUCCGGCGCUGAUGGAUGAGUCUGCGUCCCAUUAGCUUGUUGGUGCGGUAGCGGCGCACCAAGGCAACGAUGGGUAGCGGGUUUGAGAGGACGAUCCGCCACACUGGAACUGAGACACGGUCCAGACUCCUACGGGAGGCAGCAGUGGGGAAUAUUGCACAAUGGAGGAAACUCUGAUGCAGCAAUGCCGCGUGAGUGAAGAAGGCCCUUGGGUCGUAAAGCUCUUUUAUGGGGGAAGAUGAUG
Molecule: ribosomal RNA, 424 nt
Filed under: uncultured SAR324 cluster bacterium
Lineage: Bacteria; Deltaproteobacteria
Description: bacterial SSU rRNA
Rfam family: Bacterial small subunit ribosomal RNA
Source: RNAcentral